ACUCGCUUAGUAUAAUGGUAGUACUAGUCCCUUACAAGGUCUAGGCGGUGGUUCGAUUCCAUCAGCGAGUA
This 71-nucleotide transfer RNA is filed under the name Providencia phage PSTCR5. It matches the Rfam family "tRNA". Rfam says of the family: Transfer RNA (tRNA) molecules are approximately 80 nucleotides in length. Their secondary structure includes four short double-helical elements and three loops (D, anti-codon, and T loops). The record is from Rfam by way of RNAcentral. Lineage: Duplodnaviria; Heunggongvirae; Uroviricota; Caudoviricetes; Demerecviridae.